RNAcentral lists this ribosomal RNA (593 nucleotides) under uncultured bacterium. Its description in RNAcentral is "bacterial SSU rRNA". It matches the Rfam family "Bacterial small subunit ribosomal RNA", at positions 86 to 675 of the family's 1533-position model. The record is from RNAcentral.
UGCUGACGAGCGGCGGACGGGUGAGUAAUGCAUAGGAAACUGCCCAGUAGUGGGGGAUAGCCCGGGGAAACCCGGAUUAAUACCGCGUACGCCCUGAGGGGGAAAGCAGGGGAUCUUUUGACCUUGCGCUAUUGGAUGUGCCUAUGCCGGAUUAGCUAGUUGGUGGGGUAAGAGCCUACCAAGGCGACGAUCCGUAGCUGGUCUGAGAGGAUGAUCAGCCACAUCGGGACUGAGACACGGCCCGAACUCCUACGGGAGGCAGCAGUGGGGAAUAUUGGACAAUGGGGGCAACCCUGAUCCAGCCAUGCCGCGUGUGUGAAGAAGGCUUUCGGGUUGUAAAGCACUUUCAGUGGGGAGGAAAACCGUGCGGUUAAUACCCGCAUGGCUUGACGUUACUCACAGAAGAAGCACCGGCUAACUCCGUGCCAGCAGCCGCGGUAAUACGGAGGGUGCAAGCGUUAAUCGGAAUUACUGGGCGUAAAGCGCGCGUAGGUGGUUUGGUAAGCGAGAUGUGAAAGCCCCGGGCUUAACCUGGGAACGGCAUUUCGAACUGUCAGGCUAGAGUAUGGUAGAGGAGUGUGGAAUUUCCUGUG